Molecule: ribosomal RNA, 490 nt
Filed under: uncultured bacterium
Lineage: Bacteria
Description: partial 16S ribosomal RNA
Rfam family: Bacterial small subunit ribosomal RNA
Source: RNAcentral
AUUGAACGCUGGCGGCAGGCCUAACACAUGCAAGUCGAACGGUAACAGGAAGCAGCUUGCUGCUUUGCUGACGAGUGGCGGACGGGUGAGUAAUGUCUGGGAAACUGCCUGAUGGAGGGGGAUAACUACUGGAAACGGUAGCUAAUACCGCAUAACGUCGCAAGACCAAAGAGGGGGACCUUAGGGCCUCCUGCCAUCGGAUGUGCCCAGAUGGGAUUAGCUAGUAGGUGGGGUAACGGCUCACCUAGGCGACGAUCCCUAGCUGGUCUGAGAGGAUGACCAGCCACACUGGAACUGAGACACGGUCCAGACUCCUACGGGAGGCAGCAGUGGGGAAUAUUGCACAAUGGGCGCAAGCCUGAUGCAGCCAUGCCGCGUGUAUGAAGAAGGCCUUCGGGUUGUAAAGUACUUUCAGCGGGGAGGAAGGGAGUAAAGUUAAUACCUUUGCUCAUUGACGUUACCCGCAGAAGAAGCACCGGCUAACUCCGUG